Molecule: transfer RNA, 84 nt
Filed under: Monopsis alba
Lineage: Eukaryota; Viridiplantae; Streptophyta; Magnoliopsida; Asterales; Campanulaceae
Also listed under: 3 other names
Description: tRNA-Tyr
Rfam family: tRNA
About the family: Transfer RNA (tRNA) molecules are approximately 80 nucleotides in length.
Source: RNAcentral
GGGUCGAUGCCCGAGUGGUUAAAGGGGACGGACUGUAAAUUCGUUGGCAAUAUGUCUACGCUGGUUCAAAUCCAGCUCGGCCCA